Molecule: ribosomal RNA, 345 nt
Filed under: Zeugodacus cucurbitae (melon fly)
Lineage: Eukaryota; Metazoa; Arthropoda; Insecta; Diptera; Tephritidae
Description: partial 16S ribosomal RNA
Source: RNAcentral
GGCUGGUAUGAACGGUUGGACGAGGUAUAAGCUGUUUCAUAUAAAUUUAUAAUAGAAUUUUAUAUUUUAGUCAAAAAGCUAAAAUAUUAUUAAAAGACGAGAAGACCCUAUAAAUCUUUAUAUUUUUUUUUAUUUAAAUUUUUUGGAUUUAUUUUAUUUUUAUAAUGGAGAAUAUUUUGUUGGGGUGAUGUUAAAAUUUAAUGAACUUUUAAUUAUAAAAAUCAUUAAUUUAUGAGUUAUUGAUCCAUUAGUAGUGAUUAUAAGAUUAAGUUACUUUAGGGAUAACAGCGUAAUUUUUUUGGAGAGUUCAUAUCGAUAAAAAAGUUUGCGACCUCGAUGUUGGAU